UAAUAAUAUAAAAAAGAAAUCAACCAAACACAUAGUACCCAUUCUCUGCAACAUGUGUACCAAAAUCAAUUGGAAAGAUUGUUAUUUUGUAGGAUGGAAAAGGUAGAGAACUACUGGAGAGGGUGAAAUAUCAUGAAAAGGUUAGCGCAACGAGAAACAUACUGGAUCAACAUGUUAAAAUCCCUCCAACCUAGAGGCCUAAAUCAAGAUAUAGACCUAUGGUGCUUUCUGGAUUAGAUUCCUCCUUUGUUCUCUUAUUCUGAUCCUUACUCUGUUACUCUCCUUCUUUGGGUCAUGAAUUAUACAAAUAUGGGAAGCAUCUUCCUAGAUGCAAAUUGUGGGAAUUCUCGCACAUUCCUAUGUCAGGAACAAUCCAAUAUGGGAG
Molecule: non-coding RNA, 385 nt
Organism: Pelobates cultripes (western spadefoot toad)
Lineage: Eukaryota; Metazoa; Chordata; Amphibia; Anura; Pelobatidae
Source: the annotation of a GenBank genome assembly